GAAAUGCGAUAAGUAAUGUGAAUUGCAGAAUUCAGUGAAUCAUCGAAUCUUUGAACGCACAUUGCGCCCGCCAGUAUUCUGGCGGGCAUGCCUGUUCGAGCGUCAUUACAACCCUCAGCCCCCCGGGCCUGGCGUUGGGGAUCGGCGGAAGCCCCCUGCGGGCACAACGCCGUCCCCCAAAUACAGUGGCGGUCCCGCCGCAGCUUCCAUUGCGUAGUAGCUAACACCUCGCAACUGGAGAGCGGCGCGGCCACGCCGUAAAACACCCAACUUCUGAAUGUUGACCUCGAAUCAGGUAGGAAUACCCGCUGAACUUAAGC
RNAcentral lists this unclassified non-coding RNA (320 nucleotides) under plant metagenome. Its description in RNAcentral is "partial contains 5.8S ribosomal RNA, internal transcribed spacer 2, and large subunit ribosomal RNA". The stretch from base 1 to 105 matches the Rfam family "5.8S ribosomal RNA", at positions 50 to 154 of the family's 154-position model. The record is from RNAcentral.